AAUCAACGCUGGCGGCGUGCCUAACACAUGCAAGUCGAACGCGAAAGCCCGCAAGGGUAAGUAGAGUGGCGCACGGGUGAGUAACACGUGGACAACCUGCCUUCGAGUGGGGAAUAACCUUCCGAAAGGAGGGCUAAUACCGCAUAACACCUCGGGACACAAGUUCUGGGGUUGAAAAGAGCAAUUUGCUCGAAGAGGGGUCCGCGCCUGAUUAGCUAGUUGGUGAGGUAACGGCUCACCAAGGCUUCGAUCAGUAGCCGUCCUGAGGA
RNAcentral lists this ribosomal RNA (269 nucleotides) under uncultured bacterium. Its description in RNAcentral is "partial 16S ribosomal RNA". It matches the Rfam family "Bacterial small subunit ribosomal RNA", at positions 32 to 298 of the family's 1533-position model. The record is from RNAcentral.